GCCGGGCGGGUCUACCAUGCAGUCGAACGAUGAACCACCUUCGGGUGGGGAUUAGUGGCGAACGGGUGAGUAACACGUGGGCAAUCUGCCCUGCACUCUGGGACAAGCCCUGGAAACGGGGUCUAAUACCGGAUACUGACCUGCCGAGGCAUCUCGGCGGGUCGAAAGCUCCGGCGGUGCAGGAUGAGCCCGCGGCCUAUCAGCUUGUUGGUGAGGUAAUGGCUCACCAAGGCGACGACGGGUAGCCGGCCUGAGAGGGCGACCGGCCACACUGGGACUGAGACACGGCCCAGACUCCUACGGGAGGCAGCAGUGGGGAAUAUUGCACAAUGGGCGCAAGCCUGAUGCAGCGACGCCGCGUGAGGGAUGACGGCCUUCGGGUUGUAAACCUCUUUCAGCAGGGAAGAAGCGAGAGUGACGGUACCUGCAGAAGAAGCGCCGGCUAACUACGUGCCAGCAGCCGCGGUAAUACGUAGGGCGCAAGCGUUGUCCGGAAUUAUUGGGCGUAAAGAGCUCGUAGGCGGCUUGUCGCGUCGGUUGUGAAAGCCCGGGGCUUAACCCCGGGUCUGCAGUCGAUACGGGCAGGCUAGAGUUCGGUAGGGGAGAUCGGAAUUCCUGGUGUAGCGGUGAAAUGCGCAGAUAUCAGGAGGAACACCGGUGGCGAAGGCGGAUCUCUGGGCCGAUACUGACGCUGAGGAGCGAAAGCGUGGGGAGCGAACAGGAUUAGAUACCCUGGUAGUCCACGCCGUAAACGGUGGGCACUAGGUGUGGGCAACAUUCCACGUUGUCCGUGCCG
RNAcentral lists this ribosomal RNA (796 nucleotides) under uncultured bacterium. RNAcentral's name for it is "bacterial SSU rRNA". It matches the Rfam family "Bacterial small subunit ribosomal RNA", at positions 39 to 848 of the family's 1533-position model. The record is from RNAcentral.